UUUUAUUAAAAUAUUUUGUUGUUGUUGUAUAUUUUAUAGAUUUGAUUAUUUUAUUUUAUAGUCUAUUUUGUACUGUAGGGGUACUUUGUUUUAUUUUGUGGAAGUUUACUUUUUUUGUUGUACCUUGUGUAUCAGGGUUUAUUUAAUUUUAUUAUGGAUAAUGUAUUUCCCGAUUUUGGAUGAUUUAAUAAUUUAUUUUAGUUACUGUUUCAUAAGUAUUAAUAAUAUUUUGUUGGUAGUGAGAUGUUUUCGUUUUCAAUGGUUUCUGGUUUUCUAAGAAAUGAAUUUAAUUCAUGCACUUUGUUUAAUGUUUCUUUUUUUUAGGUUAUUUUUAUUUUGUGUUAAAAUUUUGGGGGAUUAGCUCUAAUUUUUAUUUUUUAAAAUUGCUUUGUGUUUAUUAUUUUUGUGGGUUUUAUGUUAAUUAUCAGUUUGAGUAUGUUGAAAUUUUAUUUUUGGUUUAUUUUAUUUUUAUUUUGUUUAAGUUUUAUAUUAGAAUUUUAUUUUUAAUUUUUUAUUAUUUGUAAUUAUGAUGGAAUUAGUAUAUUUAUUGUUUAUAUUAUUUUUUGGUUGAUAAUUUUUCUUUAGGAAUUAGGCAAAGCUUUUGUGUUCGCCUGUUUAUCAAAAACAACUCCUCUUGUUUUUUAUUUGAGGUAGGACCUGCCCACUGAAUUAAUUUUUAAAGGGCCGCGGUAUUUUGACCGUGCAAAGGUAGCAUAAUCAUUAGUCUUUUAAUUGUGGGCUGGAAUGAAUGGUUUGACGAGAUACAAUCUGUCUUGGGUUUAUUAUUAUUGAAUUUAGGUUUUAGGUAAAAAUACCUAGAUGUUUUUGUGGGACGAGAAGACCCUAUAGAGUUUUAUAUUGACUCUUUUCUAUUUGUUUGUUUUAAAAUUUUGAAUUUGUGGUUUUAUUUUGUUGGGGUGACAUGAGGAUUUAUUUAACUCUUCUUUUGUUUUUGUAAUAUAGAUUAAUAGUUUAUUGAUCCUUUAUUAUUGAUUUUAAGAUUAAAUUACCUUAGGGAUAACAGCGUAAUCUUUCUUGAAAGUUCUUAUUGACAGGGUGGUUUGCGACCUCGAUGUUGGAUUAAGGUGAAUUUUUGGUGUAGAAGCUUGAAUUGAUUGGGUCUGUUCGACCCUUAAAACCUUACAUGAUCUGAGUUCAAACCGGCGUGAGCCAGGUUGGUUUCUAUCUACAAUGAUUUAAUGACUUAGUACGAAAGGACCAGUUGUUAGGAAUAAUUUU
This 1239-nucleotide ribosomal RNA is filed under the name Stolotermes victoriensis. Its description in RNAcentral is "16S ribosomal RNA". The stretch from base 802 to 1196 matches the Rfam family "Bacterial large subunit ribosomal RNA", at positions 2049 to 2651 of the family's 2925-position model. Lineage: Eukaryota; Metazoa; Arthropoda; Insecta; Blattodea; Termopsidae. The record is from RNAcentral.